AUUGAACGCUGGCGGCAUGCUUUACACAUGCAAGUCGAACGGCAGCGCGGGGCAACCUGGCGGCGAGUGGCGAACGGGUGAGUAAUAUAUCGGAACGUACCCAAGAGUGGGGGAUAACGUAGCGAAAGUUACGCUAAUACCGCAUACGAUCUAUGGAUGAAAGUGGGGGAUUCGCAAGAACCUCAUGCUCCUGGAGCGGCCGAUAUCUGAUUAGCUAGUUGGUAGGUAAAGGCCUACCAAGGCUACGAUCAGUAGCUGGUCUGAGAGGACGACCAGCCACACUGGGACUGAGACACGGUCCAG
This 303-nucleotide ribosomal RNA is filed under the name uncultured bacterium. Its description in RNAcentral is "bacterial SSU rRNA". It matches the Rfam family "Bacterial small subunit ribosomal RNA", at positions 30 to 334 of the family's 1533-position model. The record is from RNAcentral.